RNAcentral lists this ribosomal RNA (499 nucleotides) under uncultured Glomeromycotina. Its description in RNAcentral is "partial small subunit ribosomal RNA". It matches the Rfam family "Eukaryotic small subunit ribosomal RNA", at positions 591 to 1092 of the family's 1831-position model. Lineage: Eukaryota; Fungi; Glomeromycota. The record is from RNAcentral.
CCAAUAGCGUAUAUUAAAGUUGUUGCAGUUAAAAAGCUCGUAGUUGAAUUUCGAGAUCAAUAUGUCGGUCGUGCUUAGGUACGUACUGGCAUUAUUGAUUUCUCCCUUCUGAUGAACCAUGAUGACAUUAAUUUGGUGUUCUGGGGAAUCAGGACUGUUACCUUGAAAAAAUUAGAGUGUUUAAAGCAGGCUCACGCUUGAAUACAUUAGCAUGGUAUAAUGAAAUAGGUCGUUUGAUUCUAUUUUGUUGGUUUCUAGGAUCGACGUAAUGAUUAAUAGGGAUAGUUGGGGGCAUUAGUAUUCAAUUGUCAGAGGUGAAAUUCUUGGAUUUAUUGAAGACUAACUACUGCGAAAGCAUUUGCCAAGGAUGUUUUCAUUAAUCAAGAACGAAAGUUAGGGGAUCGAAGACGAUCAGAUACCGUCGUAGUCUUAACCAUAAACUAUGCCGACUAGGGAUCGGAUGAUGUUAAUUUUUUAAUGACUCAUUCGGCGCCUUACG